Molecule: long non-coding RNA, 948 nt
Filed under: Struthio camelus australis
Lineage: Eukaryota; Metazoa; Chordata; Aves; Struthioniformes; Struthionidae
Description: lncRNA (ENSSCUG00000009028.1)
Source: RNAcentral
CUUGGUAAACAGUUCAGGAAAGAAUGCAGAUCCACCUAAAUUUAAAUCCAGGUCAUGUAGCCUGAGCUGAACCUAAGCAGAUGUCUAAGGGCUAUUCAGAUUUACAAUACUGUUUCUUGGUGGCUCCCUGAAUCUGAUAACCUGAAAUGUGACUGAUAAGUCCCCAGUUUGGGAACAACUGGGAGCACUCACUGGUGCAUUCAACACUAGGAUCGCUUCUGCCAGCACACGCUGAAAAACUUUUGUCCCGUGCAAAUCAUUCACAAUGUAAACAGCAGGUAGAAAGAGUGGCAGAGCCAAGAAAGAGCUAUUCCUUGUUGAAGUAAUUGAGGGCAGCAGGUACAAGAGCCCAGGAGUGUUCAAAUGCUAACAAGAAUGUAUGAGGAAAACAGAACACACAGCAAUUCAUAGAAAUGCAAGGGUGUCGAGUUCUUUUCUCCUACAAACAGCAUUUCUCACUAGAUGGAGACAAAGUAGUCAGCCGCAACCCCCACCAAAUGGAUGGCAUCCAUUAACUCCUGCUGGCCACCAGAUAGGCACUAAGUGGAAGGAAGUUGACAGAUGAAGAAGAUACGCGAUCCUCAUGAGAAACGUUGAGCUAUAUCCUACCUCCUGUUUCCCUUCCUCUCUCCUCUCUGAAAUGAAGCCCCACUUACAUCCCAGAAGGAGUAUGUAAUCUGGAGGAUUGUUAAUCAUUGUAGUAACGGGAGAAGAGAAACAGCUUCAGUUCCCCAACUCCCAUAUGUGGUUCAUCUUCAGUGAACUGCACCUCACUCAGCUUUUCCAUCGACAUGGUAUCACUGCAUGUGCAAAGCAACUCAAUGGUCUAAGCCAUGGCUGGCAUAUCCAAGGGUUUUCUUCAUAUAGCCCGACAACAAGAGGCAUCUUGCACAGCUGCUGCUACUGACAAGUAAGGAGAGAAAAAUCACAGGAGGAAGCAGAAGUAAG